Molecule: long non-coding RNA, 631 nt
Filed under: Sinocyclocheilus anshuiensis
Lineage: Eukaryota; Metazoa; Chordata; Actinopteri; Cypriniformes; Cyprinidae
Description: lncRNA (ENSSANG00000052052.1)
Source: RNAcentral
CAAAUUUUUCUGGAGGAAACAUUACAACCUCUGUUGUUUUACGUGUAAAAUGUGUUCAUCAUAACAUAACGAUUGAGCCUGAACUGGCAGAUGUCACAGAGGGCGUCGCAAAGAACUUCAUUUGUAGUGUCUACCAUUCCUGCCAGAAAGAGAAUCCAAACAUCACAUGGAACUAUGAGAACAUGCAGGUCACAGAGUGGAGCAAAACACUUUCUGGUUUAAAUUGGGUCAUCUACUCUAACAUAACCUUUCUGGGUGCAAAAGUAGAUCAUGAGAAGAAAUUGAUAUGUACUGCAAAAAUUUUCUGGAAGAGACAUUAUGGCAUCUGUUGUCUUAAAUGUGCAAUACCCAGUGCUCAGUGGACUGGAGACUAUUGGUCUUUAUAUCCUAACGCCAUCACUUGUGUUCCUUCUGGUUUGUAUACUUGCUGGAGUCAUCAUAUACAAGAAGCGACAAAGGUCAAAAGAUGCAAUGUCAGGAAACAAGGCAUUCUCCAAACCUUAUAUGCCGUCACCAAAGAGUGAUCCAAAAUCCUGCUCUCGUUAUGAUUAUGAAGCUGAAUACACCAACAUGGACAAACUCAACAUGUAUGGAAAUAUCUGAUGAAAACAACAUCAAAGCAAAAUGGGCU